This 187-nucleotide ribosomal RNA is filed under the name uncultured bacterium. Its description in RNAcentral is "partial 16S ribosomal RNA". It matches the Rfam family "Bacterial small subunit ribosomal RNA", at positions 172 to 353 of the family's 1533-position model. The record is from RNAcentral.
CAUAAGAUUGUAGUAUCGCAUGAUAUAGCAAUUAAAGGAAGCAAUCCGCUAUAAGAUGGACCCGCCGUCGCAUUAGCUAGUUGGUGAGGUGAUGGCUCACCAAGGCGACGAUGCGUAGCCGACCUGAGAGGGUGAUCGGCCACAUUGGGACUGAGACACGGCCCAGACUCCUACGGGAGGCAGCAUG